Molecule: small nuclear RNA, 99 nt
Filed under: Chinchilla lanigera (long-tailed chinchilla)
Lineage: Eukaryota; Metazoa; Chordata; Mammalia; Rodentia; Chinchillidae
Source: RNAcentral
GUGCUUGCUUUAGCAGCACAUAUACUAAAACUGGAACAGAGAAGAUUAGCAUGGCUGCACAAGAAUGACACACAAAUUCAUGAAGCAUUCCAUAUUUAA